UACGUAGGGGGCAAGCGUUGUCCGGAUUCAUUGGGCGUAAAGAGCGUGUAGGCGGCCAGGUAGGUCGGUUGUGAAAACUGGAGGCUCAACCUUCAGAGGUCGACCGAAACCAUCUGGCUAGAGUCCGGGAGAGGAGAGUGGAAUUCCUGGUGUAGCGGUGAAAUGCGUAGAUAUCUGGAGGAACACCGGUGGCGAAGGCGGCGUCCUGGACCAACACUGACACUGAUGAGCGAAAGCCAGGGGAGCAAACGGG
This 253-nucleotide ribosomal RNA is filed under the name uncultured bacterium. RNAcentral's name for it is "partial 16S ribosomal RNA". It matches the Rfam family "Bacterial small subunit ribosomal RNA", at positions 524 to 776 of the family's 1533-position model. The record is from RNAcentral.